GGCGGUUCUCAGGUGACACACCCUGGAAUCAGGCUCCCUUCUCUCUGGUUCUGGGUACGUCACCCCAAGAACCACU
Myotis brandtii (Brandt's bat) is the source of this 76-nucleotide non-coding RNA. NCBI's taxonomy places the organism in Eukaryota, Metazoa, Chordata, Mammalia, Chiroptera, Vespertilionidae. The record is from Rfam.